Molecule: ribosomal RNA, 428 nt
Filed under: uncultured marine bacterium
Lineage: Bacteria
Description: bacterial SSU rRNA
Rfam family: Bacterial small subunit ribosomal RNA
Source: RNAcentral
AAUCUUGCACAAUGGGCGAAAGCCUGAUGCAGCAACGCCGCGUGCGGGAAGACGGCCCUAGGGUUGUAAACCGCUUUCAGCAGGGAAGAAAAUGACGGUACCUGUAGAAGAAGAUGCGGCCAACUACGUGCCAGCAGCCGCGGUGACACGUAGGCAUCAAGCGUUAUUCGGAUUUAUUGGGCGUAAAGAGCUCGUAGGCGGUUCGGUAAGUCGGGUGUGAAAACUCUGGGCUCAACCCAGAGACGCCACCCGAUACUGCUGUGACUAGAGUGCGGUAGGGGAGCGGGGAACUCCUGGUGUAGCGGUGAAAUGCGCAGAUAUCAGGAAGAACACCAGUGGCGAAGGCGCCGCUCUGGGCCGUAACUGACGCUGAGGAGCGAAAGCAUGGGUAGCAAACAGGAUUAGAUACCCUGGUAGUCCAUGCCGUA